AGUUGCAAGUAAACUACUUCUGUUCUGCAGGCAGCAGGGAUGCUGGAGAGUGACUUUAGUAAGAGUGUUAAGAGUCUUUGGUGGCACCAGCAGCCCAAAUGACCUGCUGCCCUCACUGUCCACCCUACUCACACUUCCAGUGUGGUUGUCAGUCCAGACUUGACUCAAGAAUCAGUGUACAAAGGACUUAGACCAUGGAAAAUAAAGGGGAACAUUCAGAUUGAGGAAAAAGAAUUCAACUUUAAUAGAACAUUUCUGAGAUUUAUGCUGCCUUCCAGAAACAGGAAGAAUUGAUAUUUCACUCCACUGAAUUUUCAAAUUCAGUUUACACCUCUUUUGGAGUAUCUUCAAUUUUGUAUUAUUAUUAUGUAUUUAUCUGCUUGAGUCUUCCUUUAAACCUGUGAACAAAUUGAGAUGAUAGUGGGUCAAGUGACUUGUCCAUGCUUCUAUAAUGACUCAACAGAGGAGGGAGAAUUGAAGUCACACAGCCCUGGGCUCCAGAGCUCACACUUUUAUCCAUUGCAUUAUAGUUGUAGAAUGAUAGAGUUGGACAGACAUGGAUUUAAAUAAAAAAAUCUACAAACUCCUGUUUAAAUGUGAAAAUCAGUUAAUUUCUAUUAUUUUGUUUUGAUAACAUUGGUGAAAAUAAUAUAGAUAUCUUUCCCUUGCUUUUAUUUCUUUCACUCAAAUUUAAGUGGCAUCUGUAGUAAUUUUAAAGGCCAGUAUAGUGACAACUUAUUCCCCCAGUUUAUCAUUCUCAUAAAAAACAAGAAAUAUAUACUGUGCAGGGAUAGAAAAAAUGAAGUGACACAUUUGAAAAUGUUUUAAGGAUGAAAAAUGUAAUACAUUCUAAUCAAACUAAAUUAUAUAAAUGUUAGUAAGUAGAUUUUAUUUUUAAAUGUGUGUCGCAAAAUAUAGCAUUAACGAACAUUACAAGAAAACAUCACACAACAAACAUUAGUUCCGCUUCCUAUGGAGUCCUAAGAACCACAGGUAAAGAAAUCUUUAGUACCAUGAAACCCACUAGAACUACCAGUUAGGUGUCACCUACUAGUUAAUUUUUUGCUAGGUAGAGAAGAUUAUGUAUUCCAUGAGCAGUUAGGUUUCGGAAUUGAUGUUGAUCAAUUUUAGUUGAGAUUGUAUUUGCCCCUUUUAGGUAUUCCUAUUUGAAUGCUUGAAAGAAAUAGGUUUUCCUUAAAUAUUCCUUAUCUGCAAUAAUAUCCUUGAUUGAAAUUAAUGUGACUUCUGUGUGUUUAUCAUUUUAUCAAACCCUUCAAUUAUGGUUUGGAAAUUUCCCAAGGAAUUUUAGAAAGCAACUUGGAUGUGUUUAACUGAGAAAGUCUCUUUUAGUAUUUUGGUGAAGUUAAAACAUAAAAUUCUUUGUGUUGACAACUAGUGAAGAAUGAUUUGCUUGUCAUUUGAAAUGGUUGAGCUAUAAAGUACUGACAUGUGAAACUUACAACAGAAAUUCAGAAUGACCUUACCCUCAAAUGAUAAAAAUGGAAACUUUGUAAUAAAUUUCUCCAAAAUAAUACCUUAACAAUGUACUUUAGUGUUCAGCUCUAUAGAGUUUUUGGUAAUACACUGGAUUAAAUCAAGUUAACUAUCAGAGACUCCUAAAAUGACUCAGUAUCACCUUCUCCCAGCUAGAGGAAGGUUAAACAGAGCCAGAUGGAUACCCCAUACCAGAUGAAACAGAGAAAAAUUAUGUUUCCUGCUUUUGUCAUCUUUGAACCCAGUCUCCUUGUACCUUAUUUCUAUUCCUAUUUCUUUUUCCUUCACAAUCUCAGGACAGCCCUAUUCUUAUUCCUCACUUCUGCAGUGCUUUAGUAGAUAUGAUCUUCAUUAAAAAAUGCAUCACUAUUGCAAUAACUAAGUGAUUUAUAUUCCAUCUCAUAUUUUCUAAUAUAUUAGAUAAUAUAGUAUUAGUUUACUUUUUCUAAGGCACAGUCAUUUUCCUCAAAAUAUCUUCCAUGCACAAAAUUAUUCAAUGCCUCCAUAAAGAAAAUACCCUUUAAUGUAUUAUUCAAUAAAUGUUAAGCACCUCUAUGUAUUAAAAAAAAUUGGGUAGGCAAUGAACAGUGAGAAAAAUAAACAUAAUCCCUAUCCUCAUGGAUUAUAUUCUAGGAGAUGUACAAGAGAUAGUAAGGGACGGACAUGAAUUAAACAAAAACAGAGUAAUUUAAAAUUAUAUCUAAUGUUAUAAAGGAAAGCAAUGUUUGUAUGCAGAGUAAUAGGUGUCCUACUUUAUAUGAGAUAGUCAAAGAAGACCUCUUUGAGAAGAUGACUUCUACACUGAGAACUGAGUGAUAAGAGUGAGCUAUGAAUCUACCAAAUGAAAGCAGUUGAAAAAGAGUAUUUGCACAGACCUUUGUGAUAAAAAGACUUUUGAAAGGGUUUGUCACAUUUAGGAAACCGAAAGAAAAACAGUGUUGCUGGAGCAUGGAUAGCAAAGGAGAAGUGAAAUUGAAAUGAGGUUGUACAUACAGUCUUCCUGAAAAUGCAGAAAAUGUAGGCCCACUUUGUAGAAUAUUUAAGUUUUAUAUUAUAUUCUAACCAUAAUUUAAGUGACAUCUCUUUAAUAUGAAAUGUUCACAACUACGUUUUAUGCCUUUUUACUCCCCUACUUUCUAUGUAAUAUGGUCUGCUUUCUAUUCCUCAAUAUGGUUUGUGCUUUUUCUUCUCUAAAAUGUUGCUGAAGUGGUUUCCUCUACUUAUUCUAACUCUGUGACCUUAAUUCUAUCUACUUGUGGCUAUGUUAUACAAAUCCAGGGGCAAAUUUUACUUCCACUGUAAAGAGUAUCUAAACAUUCUAACCAGAGCGUGUGUGUGUGUGUGUGUGUGUGUGUGUGUGUGAGAGAGAGAGAGA
Long non-coding RNA from Felis catus (domestic cat), 2869 nucleotides. RefSeq lists it as uncharacterized. The transcript is spliced from 4 exons. Lineage: Eukaryota; Metazoa; Chordata; Mammalia; Carnivora; Felidae. The record is from RefSeq and is a predicted model, not a curated record.